GUGCCAGCCGCGGCGGUAAUACGUAGGGUGCAAGCGUUAUCCGGAAUUAUUGGGCGUAAAGAGCUCGUAGGCGGUUUGUCGCGUCUGCUGUGAAAUCCCGAGGCUCAACCUCGGGCCUGCAGUGGGUACGGGCAGACUAGAGUGCGGUAGGGGAGAUUGGAAUUCCUGGUGUAGCGGUGGAAUGCGCAGAUAUCAGGAGGGACACCGAUGGCGAAGGCAGAUCUCUGGGCCGUAACUGACGCUGAGGAGCGAAAGGGUGGGGAGCAAACAGGCUUAGAUACCCUGGUAGUCCACCCCGUAAACGUUGGGAACUAGUUGUGGGUCCAUUCCACGGAUUCCGUGACGAAGCUAACGCAUUAAGUUCCCCGCCUGGGGAGUACGGCCGCAAGGCUAAAACUCAAAGGAAUUGACGGGGACCCGCACAAGCGGCGGAGCAUGCGGAUUAAUUCGAUGCAACGCGAAGAACCUUACCAAGGCUUGACAUAUACGGGAACGGCCAGAAAUGGUCAACUCUUUGGACACUCGUAUACAGGU
This 534-nucleotide ribosomal RNA is filed under the name uncultured Microbacterium sp. Its description in RNAcentral is "bacterial SSU rRNA". It matches the Rfam family "Bacterial small subunit ribosomal RNA", at positions 505 to 1039 of the family's 1533-position model. The record is from RNAcentral. Lineage: Bacteria; Bacillati; Actinomycetota; Actinomycetes; Micrococcales; Microbacteriaceae.